Molecule: non-coding RNA, 252 nt
Organism: Paramuricea clavata
Lineage: Eukaryota; Metazoa; Cnidaria; Anthozoa; Malacalcyonacea; Plexauridae
Source: the annotation of a GenBank genome assembly
GGGGGGGGGGGGUGUCACACACCCCACACCCCCCUCAAGUUUCGCCCCUGAGCGCAGUAUACAACCUGUCACAUGUUUGACAAAUUAAGCUCGAGGUUAAUUUGUCAGAGUCUUUCUGGCUCAAAAUCCGUAAUUAUAUAACAAUAUUAUAUACUAAUACUCGAUAUUUUUAUGCUUUGAUAAUAACACUUGACCUGGAGAGGGUGAGAGUAUUGCUUCAUUCUAAAAUAGCUAGGAUAAUAUAAAUCGAAG